UGAAAAUAACAUACAUGUAGACAG
This 24-nucleotide non-coding RNA is filed under the name Cricetulus griseus (Chinese hamster). Lineage: Eukaryota; Metazoa; Chordata; Mammalia; Rodentia; Cricetidae. The record is from RNAcentral.